This 7315-nucleotide long non-coding RNA is filed under the name Triticum aestivum (bread wheat). RNAcentral describes it as "long non-coding RNA (TAES_LNC018826)". Lineage: Eukaryota; Viridiplantae; Streptophyta; Magnoliopsida; Poales; Poaceae. The record is from RNAcentral.
CCUUCAGUUGCUUAGGGUGAGCAAGCCCAUAAUAUUCCAUUUAUAUUCUGUCUCCCUUUUCUGUUGGAGUUACAUAGGAGUGGUCCAUAGGGGGGGCACUAGUUACUGGUUGGGAACCAUCGGUCCAUAGGCGCGCGAAUAGGGGUCCAUCCAGUUUAUUCUUUUGGGGUUGUGUGUGGGACUUUCCUCUUGAUGUGGAAAAAUAGGCUCUUAGGGCAUAUGCUGCCUUUACCGGAAAAAGAAAGUCAACGGACUUCAUGGACGAGGAGGUGGAGGAUGAAUGGUAUGGCUUGCUCACUUGCUUAAAAACUUAUUUUCAAAAAUAAGGAGACAGAAUAUAAAUCUCCGAAUGGAGAAAAGCAUAUUCUAGUAUUUGCCCAUAAGCUUAUUUAAAAUAGGAGUGCUACAUAAGCAUAUGCUAAAGGGGGAGGAAUCCAUUUAUUAUUUCUUUCUUAGCCUGGGCCCAACUAUGUACAGAAAUCUACCUAUUAUUGCCUGCAUCGACAGCAAAGUAAACUCUCGCUGAUGAUAGAAGAACAACUCUUAGGGCAGUUGCAAGGAAACUAUGAGCUAUUUAUUGUUCCUUUCUUAGAAAAAAAGAUAAAGGAUGGCUUAUGGUCUAUUUUCUUACUUGACUAUCCUGCCUGACUUGGCCAAUAAAAGAUACCUAGCAUGACACAUCAGCUACGCCAUCUGAGCCUGUCCACUUGCUAGUCAGGAAAAAUAACCGCUCCGUUCCGUGGGCUUCUUUCGCAGCUCUCUUCACGCUCGCUUUACGAGUGCAACCAAGUUCAAUAAACUGUUCAUGCUAAUUCAUAGACUAUGCUGGUUUCUAUCUAAGAGUCAUGUGAGACGCUUCCUUCUCAUACACAUCUGAAGCAACGUUUGAUCAUCCGCAUUAGAGAGUUUUGCAGGUCCUUGAGAGAACGUUAUCCAGUCAGUUAUGACUUGACCAUGGUCUGAGGUGAAAUUGGUCCUGGUCCAUAAAAUGAAAGGUGCUGGGCAAGCGCAGAGAAGUCGUCUGAAGGGGAGUUCCAUAGGAAUGUUCAACUUCGAUCAACCUUGGUUUGGUCCCAUGCCUAAAAAAGACAGAAGGUCAAAAACAAAAUAGGGGUGAUAUAACCCACUACUCGCCUAAGAAUGUACUGACGUAAUCCCUACUAUGGCUUCCCGAAGGAUCCAGCUGCUAAGAGGGUCCGAGCCAUAACGGAUUGAUGUGACCGUAGCGGCGACUGGAAUCGAUCUGAAUGAGGCAGUUAUGGGACUUCUCUUAUAUAACAAUAUAUAUGGAGGAAGGAUUCAAAAAAGGUGGGGGUCAAGGUGUAUAAUACGAGCUCCACUUUCAGGCAAUGAGCUAGCUUAACCCUGAUUGCUUAAGGUUUAAUACAGUCAUGUUGGAUCUGCUACUAAGAAAGGAAGAGAAAGACUGAUUGCGACAGCUCAACCGGAUGAGACAUCUCUUAUUUACAGAACUGUGCCAACGUGUGCCUACAUUGUUUGAUUUACCAGUUCCGGGUAUUGGAUUUUUUUUGGAAUAGAAAGAAUGAAACUAGUACCAGCUUAUCGCCAACCGUGCUUUCUACCANNNNNNNNNNUUCUCUCCUGGGAUUGAAUAUGUUUUGCCUUUCCCCGAUGGUUCCGCAUUCCUAUGUGGGUAGGAUUCGCCAGGGAUGAGCGGCUUAUUUAGCCUAUGCGAAGCGCGAAGCAUAAGAGAAGAGUGUAGCGAAGCGAGUGUAAUACUUGUAGCGAAUAUAAGUAGUGUCAAAGCCUACACUGGCUUAGCUCUGCAGAUGUUUUCAGGACGAAGACGGUGAUACGAUACCACUCGCCAGUGAUGAUAAGAUUCACUCAUAGCAUAGGUGGAAGAUCCAUCCUAUUUUCUUUAUAGAUUUAUUUGUUCAAAGAAAAUACGCCUAAAAAUCAUUCAGGGAACCUACUCUUGGUAUCCUUUACCACAUUCACUUUCCAUAUUCCCUUUCUUUAGUUCAGACGCUAUCGUACCUCAGGGAAAAUCCAAAUUUCUAUCAACGAUUCCCACCCAACUCUGGAAUGACUCUCCCCUCUCUCCCUUAACAUAUAGAAGGCCUCUUAUCCGUCAACCACACCUUAAUAGCUCAGACUUCCGAGCCUUGCUGGAUGAUGCAGAAGGGCCAACAUCAGAGGAUCAAUUGAAUAACCAACUCUCCCGCCCCGCUGCCGCUACUGCUCGAAAACCUUUGGAUCCCCUACAGGACUGUCAUGAGCCCCUACAAGGAGUCUAAAUCAAGCCGAAACCAGAUACAGGAAGUGUUGACCCGGAUCAAUUGAGUGCGAGCCCUUUUAUCUUGAGCUGAUUCUCCUUAUUUUAGAGCUGUGGCGAAGGUAAAUUGAGCUCUGGCCUGUGGGGAAGGAAAAGGCUCUGACGAAGCUCCAGGGAUUACAGGAAGGUUUAGGCCGCAGCUCCAAACGGUCAGAAAAGAAGAUGGUCCCGCCCUUACUUCGGCUUGAGGAGUCGUUUUCUCGCUAUCUUCGUCGUCUGGAUUAGCCUUUUAGUAGCCUAGUAGGUUGUUUGAGUUUCAGGAAAGGAAGAGGUGCUUUCUAAAACAGCCGUUACCGCUAUGUUUUUUUUCAAUAAGUUCUUUUAGAGCAUCGUGCCCCACUGUCCGAAUAAAGUGUGCGCCUAAGGUGUCAUGUGUUUAAGAAUAUACGUCUAAUAGAAAUACUUUCCCAAUCCGUAUAAGAGGAAAGAAGGGUCCGGCAAUAAGCAGUAGAAUAAUAACCCGCAGAAGAAGUUUAAUCGCUUCCAGAGAUCGGAGCCAGACAAAGAUAAGACUCCACGGCGGCACGAUCGGGAUGAUCGGGUCAAAAAUGAGUCAAAACUUGUAAAACCCCGGUUUUGGCCUUGUUACUAAGGAGAAAUUGACAUACUUAGCAAACAGAGAUAGAAUUAUUUAAAAAAGAGAUCAGGAAAGAGCCAUUUCCCAACCAAAUAAAAUAGGAAAGCAUGAGGCUCAAAGCCCUUUCUCAUUUCGAAUUUCAUCUUAGUAUCGGUAAUGCCCCGCCCAAAAGUAUUUCAUCGCAAUCACACGCUAGCUUUGUUGGAAAAGCUCGUUUGCACCCACUAACUAAUACCUUCUCGUCAGUAUGGAAUUCUCCAUGCUUUCGCCUUGCUUUGUAGUCAUUUUCUAUGAGUAAUCGGUCCGAACUCAAUUUCAAGAAAAAACUCUAUCUCGCCUGUGGCCAAAAGUAGUGAAAAUGGUAUUUAGCUUAGUCAAUAUACAACACAACUGCUGAUUCUUCGCGAGAUGAAAACCCUUUGUCCUCCGUCUGCAGGGGCAAUUCCUGAGAAAAGUGCUACUAGCCCUUGUUUUGGUCAUGUCCACAGGCCUUUCCAUUCGUCUUUAUUCGUCUUUCUUCCGGCAAUCUAUGCAUAAUUCUACUUCUUGAACCACCGAAUCCGCUUUUGAAAAUGGAUAACUAGCUCCAUUCUGCGUCAAGUACUAAGGAUGGGCCCAAAGCACACUUUUGAAAGGCAUCGGUCACCUUAAAAACCCCAAAAGUAGGAAGUCUAGCGUGCUUCUUUAGUGCUGCUCUUCGAUCAGAUGCUUUCUCAUUGAACGAGGCAUAUUAAAGUGAAAGAAGUUCCAGGUCGAGUCCCGAGAAGGUGAUAGUUGAUUUUGAUCAUGAAGUUGGCACUGGACUUUGGAAUUGAUUCUGGACCCCCACCUGCUCAGGACGCCCCGCCUGCUCAGGACGAUCCCAUUACGGAUUUUCUGGAGGGGGACACGCUUGACCCAGCGCAAAAACGGGAAUUCAGAAAUAUUCUGAAUUUCUUGAAGACCAAAAGCAGAACGAACCUUCAAAAUGAGCGAAUCGUAAUAAAAAGAUGUUGGGGGGGCGAGGGUAGUAGUUACGAAUCCAGGGCAAUCAACCACUAUCUAAAAAGCCAGGUUGGACAACUGCGUGCUGGGGGAUUAGCAGGGGAUUUUGUCGUAAAGGAAUUACGGAAAUGGAAAAGGGACUUCAAAGCUCAGAAGAGACGGUCCCACUUCUAUCAGGGCCUUCUCGGGGUCUUGAGCAAUGUUAAUUUGCAUUGAUUGCAAACAGGGUGCGGGAUUCUCUGACGCAAACAAAGAAAUGGUCCCGGAGAAAGGAAUCAGUCUCUUCAGUCCGGCGCAUGCCUCAAAUUCAUUUUUCCUUUGAAUUACUCAUUUUUUGAAUUUCGCACCGGAAACUUUUCUAGGAGAAGUUCGAAUCCGUUCCGUUCGGAUAUUGAUCGGUCUUGGUUUGACAUGGUUUACGCGUUACUGGUUCCCGGAAGAGUCAAUUUCUCCAUUAGCUAAACUCUUUAUUACCCUACCUUUGGACUCGUAUUUUGUUUGUACACAAUCAACGGAGGCCCCCCCGACAUAUGUUGCAACGUCUUCAAUAGCAUGCUCUUACUUCGUCUUUCCCUUAAUAAGUCAUCAAAUUUGGUGCUUUUCGAUCCCCAGUUGCUAUGGGGAACAAAGGCAGAAAUACAAUAGAAUCCUCCAUUUAAGUGGUUCUCGCUUCUCCUUGUUCCUGCUCCUAACUCCUCCCCGGGUAGUUCCCAAUGUUUGGCACUUUCCAUACUUCGUGGGUGCAACAUCAACAAAUUCGCUCAUGAUCAAGUUACAACCUAAGAUCUAUGACUAUAUUAUGUUAACUGUUCGUAUUUUGUUCAUUCCAUCGGUAUGCUCCCAGGUACCUGUAAUUGUGAUCUAUUUGCCAGAACCAAGGGGUCUUUCUGUGGAAACCUUCACGAGCAAUCGUCGUUUUUUGAUGGUUUUUCUGCUUUUCACAGCUGCUCUUUCCACACCCCCGGAUAUCUGGUGCCAAACCGUCGCCCCUUUCCUUAUAUAUUCGAUAAUCGAGUUUGCUAUCUUUGUGGCAUUGAUUGUACAAGUUCGUGAAGAGGGCUGGACGAGUAGAAUGAGGGAAAGCGGCUCGAUCGAGAAAAAAGAGGAGUAGACUAGAAAACCUAGAACUUCAAAAGUCACUAUCAAUGAAUUCCCGAGCAAUUCUAAACCAACAUAUGCUCCGUAUAGACGGAAUCUCAGAUAAGAACCUAACAGAAGUUUCGCGACUCCUUCAUGGAAUAUAGGUCUUAGUAUAUAAAUAAUGUCAGUUCGAACCUGAUGAGUCGUUAUCAUCUGUUGCCCUAACUGAGUCCAUUAGCUCUUGUUGCCCUUCUAUGGUGGGGAUCCAUAGAGAGUUCGUUUUAUGAAAUAUCUGAUAAAGUAAAAAAAAGAGAGACAGGUGGUUGCAACAAUCACAAACCAUAGAAAAAAAUGCAUAUCCCGUGUGUGCUCUAGUUUCGGGUUCUCCUAGACCACCAUUAUGAACCAAAAACAACCAUACCUAGUGAAGGGGAGCUCUUCGCAGCUGUCAGUGGAAAGAUGGAAAUUGGUUCUAAAAGAGCCGAGCUAGGGAUAAGAGAUAUGGUUGGAUGGCAGAAUGGAAGGAAUGCUAUUCUAACGGGAACCGGGAAAAGAAUGGUUCCCAAUACAGGGCCCGAAGAAGAGAGACGAAAGGAAGUAGUGAAAGAAGAAAUAAAGUACGCGGAUCAAAGUGAAAAAUCACAUAGCUACUAAGUCAAAACGUCCAAUGAGAAUGGAGAUCAAGAGGGACAUGAAAUCCAUUAGCAGCUCUAUCAGUUAUUUCAUUAUUAGCAUUCCUUAACCAAUAGAAAAAGAAAGAGAUCACAAGCGUUAUCAGUCUCCAGACGCAUCUAUCUAUAAAAAGGAGUAGGGCACCUGAUAUGAGAUACAUACUGGAGUCAAGGAUUGAGACCACUAGUGAGAAGGCCAAUAAAUCGUUUUUUUGUAUCGGAAGGGAAAGAAGGACCAUCCAUUGGCAAGCACUAAAGGUAGGAAUCUAGUGGCUGCUGCAUCAAGCUCCAUCCAUGAUUUUACACUCUAGAGGAGAGAACUGCUGUGAGCCAGCUUUGUAGCGACCUUUCUUAUGCGGAAGCAAAACCUGUAUUUCUAUACGAGUUUCCUUCAGUUGCUUAGGGUGAGCAAGCCCAUAAUAUUCCAUUUAUAUUCUGUCUCCCUUUUCUGUUGGAGUUACAUAGGAGUGGUCCAUAGGGGGGGCACUAGUUACUGGUUGGGAACCAUCGGUCCAUAGGCGCGCGAAUAGGGGUCCAUCCAGUUUAUUCUUUUGGGGUUGUGUGUGGGACUUUCCUCUUGAUGUGGAAAAAUAGGCUCUUACGGCAUAUGCUGCCUUUACCGGAAAAAGAAAGUCAACGGACUUCAUGGACGAGGAGGUGGAGGAUGAAUGGUAUGGCUUGCUCACUUGCUUAAAAACUUAUUUUCAAAAAUAAGGAGACAGAAUAUAAAUCUCCGAAUGGAGAAAAGCAUAUUCUAGUAUUUGCCCAUAAGCUUAUUCAAAAUAGGAGUGCUACAUAAGCAUAUGCUAAAGGGGGAGGAAUCCAUUUAUUAUUUCUUUCUUAGCCUGGGCCCAACUAUGUACAGAAAUCUAUCUAUUAUUGCCUGCAUCGACAGCAAAGUAAACUCUCGCUGAUGAUAGAAGAACAACUCUUAGGGCAGUUGCAAGGAAACUAUGAGCUAUUUAUUGUUCCUUUCUUAGAAAAAAAAGAUAAAGGAUGGCUUAUGGUCUAUUUUCUUACUUGACUAUCCUGCCUGACUUGGCCAAUAAAAGAUACCUAGCAUGACACAUCAGCUACGCCAUCUGAGCCUGUCCACUUGCUAGUCAGGAAAAAUAACCGCUCCGUUCCGUGGGCUUCUUUCGCAGCUCUCUUCACGCUCGCUUUACGAGUGCAACCAAGUUCAAUAAACUGUUCAUGCUAAUUCAUAGACUAUGCUGGUUUCUAUCUAAGAGUCCUGUGAGACGCUUCCUUCUCAUACACAUCUGAAGCAACGUUUGAUCAUCCGCAUUAGAGAGUUUUGCAGGUCCUUGAGAGAACGUUAUCCAGUCAGUUAUGACUUGACCAUGGUCUGAGGUGAAAUUGGUCCUGGUCCAUAAAACGAAAGGUGCUGGGCAAGCGCAGAGAAGUCGUCUGAAGGGGAGUUCCAUAGGAAUGUUCAACUUCGAUCAACCUUGGUUUGGUCCCAUGCCUAAAAAAGACAGAAGGUCAAAAACAAAAUAGGGGUGAUAUAACCCACUGCUCGCCUAAGAAUGUACUGACGUAAUCCCUACUAUGGCUUCCCGAAGGAUCCAGCUGCUAAGAGGGUCCGAGCCAUAACGGAUUGAUGUGACCGUAGCGGCGACUGGAAUCGAUCUGAAUGAGGCAGUUAUGGGACUUCUCUUAUAUAACAAUAUAUAUGGAGGAAGGAUUCAAAAAAGGUGGGGG